This 2103-nucleotide long non-coding RNA is filed under the name Bemisia tabaci. RNAcentral describes it as "lncRNA ENSSWEETPG009357". Lineage: Eukaryota; Metazoa; Arthropoda; Insecta; Hemiptera; Aleyrodidae. The record is from RNAcentral.
UCAAUAAUCAAUGCUCCACACUUUGAAGUUUCAGGAAAAACCGAAAUACCCAAUUUAUUUUGUUUCUCAUAGAAUUUCUUACAAGAAAUUCCGAAGAUGUCAAAAUUAUGUGCAUUUUUACUCCCCCUGACAAGGAAAAAUAGCACUGAAGUGCUUCAUUUUCUGUAUGCCUUAUUAAGUUGUUUUUUUGCAUUCAUGUCAAUGGAAAGAUAAAUUAGUGUGAAAAUCUCACUCGAGUUUUGCCAAAACAGUUCUUAUUAAAAAAAAAAAAAAAAAAAAAAAAAAAAAUCUUACCAUCGAAUGGCGCUUGAGAAACUUUGUCUGCUAGUUGAAUAGUUUUCCUCAUAGUUCAAUAACAUUUUGUUUUUAUUUUACAGAUGAAGAUGAAUUAAAUGUGCGAGCGUUCUUCAUUCUUCUCUUGUGCCUCCCUCAAAAAGCCAUUCGAGGAACCAAAAAAAGUUGGAAACCUUCGAAUAAAACAGAGUUGCUCCAGUAUUCUCUUCCUAUUGUGCCUUCGAUCUGAUGUUUUAUAAUUGUAUUUUGACACUGUCCAUUGUCUGCGUGUACUUCAGCUUAACUUGCCUUUUGAGUCAAGAUCUCCAUUGAGUAUAACUUGUCUUGAAAUAUGUUCUGCAAAAAAUUAACCACUAAGAUCCUAUUUCUAAGCCUCAAAAUGAGAGUUAGAACUUUAUUUGCCAUAAGGCUUCUGUAAUUUUUAAACUUCAAAGACAUUUCUCAAAUUAGAAAAAACUGCCCCUGAGCACCUUCCCCUCCAAUACCCUUAUUUGUAACUGAUAUGAAAAUGAUUCUAGAAUUACAUCAGUGAAUAGGUAUCGCUGGUAACAACCAGAAACACAGAUCUCCAUUGGGAUGUUUCAAAAUCUCUGCUGCUUGCUUAUUUUUUAAAAUGAAAACUAAUUAGCAGUAUUGCUUGAAAUUUUUACGAAAUUUUCUUCGCAGGAUGAGAAAAAAUCAGAUUGAGUUUAAAGACAUAAUAAUGAGACAUACUAAUUUACUUUAAAAGAUGUCACGAGAAAUCUGCAACGUCAUGAAUGGAGAUCGGUGUCUUUGAUCUGUCACCCAGCGGUAUUUGAUUUCAGAAAAAAUGUGCAUUGAAUACCUUAAUUGUAUUUAAUUUGAAUAAAUUAUAUUACUAAACAAAACAUAUACUACAAAGCUGAAGUAAAGAAGGGGCAGAGUGUUUGAAAACCUGAAGAAGUAUUGCUUCUUAUGAUUGAAGUUCACAUAAUGAAUGUUUUGAUUCAAUAACAAAUUGAAUCAUGCGAAAUUUUCUGAGAUUCUGCCAAUGGGUUAAUGUUUUGUUGGAUUAUAUUGUUUUUGUCCUGAAAAAUGUCUUCAUGCAAUAAAAAUUAAUUUUUAUCUCUGAAUCAUGUAUUCAUUUCUAUGUAUUGAAAGUUCAAAAUAAAUGAAAUUGUCAAAGCAUAUAUUUGCGCUGUGAAAAUAUUUCAAUCGUAAAAUAGCAGUAUGUAACAGUCAUGAUUUAUAACAUCCAAGUAUCCUUGAAACAUCCGAAAAGUUAUACAAAUUGAUUGUUCAAAAAUUGAAGAUAUUGCAUGAAUAUUCACAUAAUCAUCUAUGCUAUUUUAGGGCAAUGUGAAAAUUUAGUGCAGGUGAUUCUAAAUAACAUAUUUUUUUAUUUCAAAUGAGGUGCGGUGUUGUCACAGGAAUUUCUUUUAGGGAUUUCAGGGAUAAAACGGUUCUGUAACUGCAACAAAAGCUUUCAGUUUUCAGCACAAAACAUUCAGUUAUGGGAACAGAAGGUUCUGUUACUGAGAUAAUACACUUCUGUUGGUGUGAAAAAAUUCUUCAGUUGGAGUAACGAAAGUCCUUUUGUCAGGGUAACAAAAUUCCUGUGGGAGCCGUACGGACAGAGCAGUUCUGUCACAAGUACUCCACCUUUUGUUCCCAUCACUAACCAUUUUUUUCUGUGUAGCACGAGGCAAAUUCCUUAAAAUUUUCGAAGGAAUCUGCACGAACGUUCUCUGUAAAGAAUUAAAUUGCCCGGUUAAAUUAGGGAAUACCUGACGUGGCUUGGUUCCUUGCUAAACGCGGUCCAGUUACGGGCUCCAGGUUCCUUUAAUU